UUCCGGUUGAUCCUGCCGGAAGUCACUGCUAUUGGGAUUCGACUAAGCCAUGCGAGUCGAGAGGGUUCGGCCCUCGGCUGACGGCUCAGUAACACGUGGAUAAUCUGCCCUAUGGUGGAGGAUAACCUCGGGAAACUGAGAAUAAUACUCCAUAGGCCUAGGAUGCUGGAAUGCACCUAGGCUCAAACUCCGGUGCCAUAGGAUGAGUCUGCGGACUAUCAGGUUGUAGUCAGGGUAAAGACCUGACUAGCCUACGACGGAUAUGGGUUGUGAGAGCAAUAACCCAGAGAUGAUAUCUGAGACACGAUAUCAGGCCCUACGGGGCGCAGCAGGCGCGAAAACUUCACAAUGUGCGAAAGCGCGAUGAGGGAAUCCCAAGUGCUUGCACGUAAGUGUAAGCUGUUUUUAUGUUUAAAACGCAUGGAGAGUAAGAGCUGGGUAAGACGGGUGCCAGCCGCCGCGGUAAUACCUGCAGCUCAAGUGGUGGCCACUGUUAUUGGGCCUAAAACGUCCGUAGCCUGUUUAAUAAAUGCCUGGGUAAAUCGUGUAGCUUAACUAUACGAAUUCCGGGUAGACUGUUAAACUUGAGACCGGGAGAAGUUAGAGGUACUCCUGGGGUAGAGGUGAAAUUCUGUAAUCCUAGGGGGACCACCAGUGGCGAAGGCGUCUGACUAGAACGGGUCUGACGGUGAGGGACGAAGCCCUGGGGCGCAAACCGGAUUAGAUACCCGGGUAGUCCAGGGUGUAAACGCUGCUUGCUUGAUGUUAGUCGGGCUCCGAGCCCGAUUAGUGUCGGAGAGAAGUUGUUAAGCAAGCUGCCUGGGAAGUACGGUCGCAAGGCUGACACUUAAAGGAAUUGGCGGGGGAGCACCACAAGGGGUGAAGCCUGCGGCUUCAGUGGAGUCAACGCCGGAA
Molecule: ribosomal RNA, 915 nt
Filed under: uncultured archaeon
Lineage: Archaea
Description: bacterial SSU rRNA
Rfam family: Archaeal small subunit ribosomal RNA
Source: RNAcentral